ACACGGAGGGUGCAAGCGUUAUUCGGAAUUAUUGGGCGUAAAGGGCGCGUAGGCGGCCGAUCAGGUCAGAUGUGAAAGCCCGGGGCUUAACCCCGGAAGUGCAUUUGAAACCGGUUGGCUUGAGUAUGGGAGAGGAGAGCGGAAUUCCUGGUGUAGAGGUGAAAUUCGUAGAUAUCAGGAGGAACACCGGUGGCGAAGGCGGCUCUCUGGACCAAUACUGACGCUGAGGCGCGAAGGCGUGGGUAGC
This 247-nucleotide ribosomal RNA is filed under the name uncultured bacterium. RNAcentral describes it as "partial 16S ribosomal RNA". It matches the Rfam family "Bacterial small subunit ribosomal RNA", at positions 523 to 769 of the family's 1533-position model. The record is from RNAcentral.